UUUCUCUCCUUAAUAUCCAGUCAGUUUGUAAUCUUUUACUUCCCUGAGAUCACAGGUAUCAUGCAAAAUGAUACUUUCUUUAUCAAAACAUUUCUUUUUUUUUUUUUUUUGAGACGGAGUUUUGCUCGUUACCCAGGGUGGAGUGCAAUGGCGCGAUCUGGCUCACUGCAACCUCCGCCUCCUGGGUUCAGGCAGUUCUCCUGCCUCAGCCUCCUGAGUAGCUGGGAUUACAGGCACGUGCCACCAUGCCCAGCUAAUUUUUGUAUUUUUAGUAGAGACGGGGUUUCACCAUGUUGACCAGGAUGGUCUUGAUAUCUUGACUCGUGAUCCACCCGCCUCGGCCUCCCAAAGUGCUGGGAUCUUUAUCAAACAUUUCUAACUGGUAAGAGCCGAGACUUUUUAGGGUUUGCCUCAGCAAUGUUGCCAGCAAUCUAUGGGUUUUCUCUACUUUCCUAGCCCCAGACAACCAGCCAGCAUGAUCUCUUAGACUCUUUGCUCUUACGGACGCCAUCAUUUCUCAAAUGUGCUCACCCUUGAGGGAUUAGAAUCUCAGAGCAAAUGGCUAAGGUACAGGCUGGACAUUCGCAGAUUAGAGUUCCCACUCUGGACAUGCCAUCACUGCCAGGUUCUAGAGGAAAAGAACAUGUUGCUUGGAGCUUCUUUGCCAGCAAAGGGCAGUGCCCAGAUGGCCUGAGGAGCUCCAUGGUAUAAGCAGUUAAAUGUGAUAGAGCAUGGACAUGAGGACUAAAGAGACCUGGGUUCACAUCCCAGCCUUUCCUCACACUAUCUGUGUGGCCUUGUAAGCUGAUAUUAAGUCUGCUUUGGCAUUUAUGGAAUAGCAAUAAUAACGUUACUUUGUUGUUGUUUUUGUUUGUUUUGAGAUGGAGUCUUGCUCUGUCUCCCAGGCUGAUGAUCUCGGCUCACUGCAACCUCUGCCUCCUGGGUUCAAGCAAUUCUCCUGCCUCAGACUCCCAAGUUGCUGGGAUUACAGGCUUGCUCUGGUGCCUGGCAGACGAACUAGCUCAGCCUUGCCGCACUUCCACCAGUUAUGCACAGGGUCCUCCGGAGGAAAAAGCCUGAGAGAGCUGGAGGUGGAGACUGUUGUGCACUGUGCUAGGGGCUGGCUGGCACCAACCAACAGUUCCAGACGGUGACCAGGAGAGGGCGUCAGGGAAAGGCGUGUAAUAAACGGGGAAUAAAGGAAUUUCAGAACAGGAGAGUACCUUAGAGAGAGCUCCCCGUCCAACCCCUUCGUUUCACACCAGAGGAGCCCGGCUCAGAGCAGGGAAGAGACUCUUCAGGAGGCCUAAGCGUCCUUCUGCAUUUUCAAAAUGGACCUACCUUCCAUUUUAGUUACCUCGUCUGACCAUUAUGUCUCUUUCUCCUUCGUUCAUUCACUCUGAGGACCGAAUCUUCGCUUAUUUUUAUCACAAUCACAUGAUUAAAAAACAAGUAGACCUGUGGCCUGGAGGUUGGUAUUCCUGGAUCCUUUU
RNAcentral lists this long non-coding RNA (1493 nucleotides) under Callithrix jacchus (white-tufted-ear marmoset). RNAcentral's name for it is "lncRNA (ENSCJAG00000085088.1)". The record is from RNAcentral. Lineage: Eukaryota; Metazoa; Chordata; Mammalia; Primates; Cebidae.